AAAUUGAAGAGUUUGAUCAUGGCUCAGAUUGAACGCUGGCGGCAGGCCUAACACAUGCAAGUCGAACGGUAACAGGAAGCAGCUUGCUGCUUUGCUGACGAGUGGCGGACGGGUGAGUAAUGUCUGGGAAACUGCCUGAUGGAGGGGGAUAACUACUGGAAACGGUGGCUAAUACCGCAUAACGUCGCAAGACCAAAGAGGGGGACCUUCGGGCCUCUUGCCAUCAGAUGUGCCCAGAUGGGAUUAGCUAGUUGGUGAGGUAACGGCUCACCAAGGCGACGAUCCCUAGCUGGUCUGAGAGGAUGACCAGCCACACUGGAACUGAGACACGGUCCAGACUCCUACGGGAGGCAGCAGUGGGGAAUAUUGCACAAUGGGCGCAAGCCUGAUGCAGCCAUGCCGCGUGUAUGAAGAAGGCCUUAGGGUUGUAAAGUACUUUCAGCGGGGAGGAAGGUGUUGUGGUUAAUAACCGCAGCAAUUGACGUUACCCGCAGAAGAAGCACCGGCUAACUCCGUGCCAGCAGCCGCGGUAAUACGGAGGGUGCAAGCGUUAAUCGGAAUUACUGGGCGUAAAGCGCACGCAGGCGGUCUGUCAAGUCGGAUGUGAAAUCCCCGGGCUCAACCUGGGAACUGCAUUCGAAACUGGCAGGCUUGAGUCUUGUAGAGGGGGGUAGAAUUCCAGGUGUAGCGGUGAAAUGCGUAGAGAUCUGGAGGAAUACCGGUGGCGAAGGCGGCCCCCUGGACAAAGACUGACGCUCAGGUGCGAAAGCGUGGGGAGCAAACAGGAUUAGAUACCCUGGUAGUCCACGCCGUAAACGAUGUCUACUUGGAGGUUGUGCCCUUGAGGCGUGGCUUCCGGAGCUAACGCGUUAAGUAGACCGCCUGGGGAGUACGGCCGCAAGGUUAAAACUCAAAUGAAUUGACGGGGGCCCGCACAAGCGGUGGAGCAUGUGGUUUAAUUCGAUGCAACGCGAAGAACCUUACCUGGUCUUGACAUCCACAGAACUUUCCAGAGAUGGAUUGGUGCCUUCGGGAACUGUGAGACAGGUGCUGCAUGGCUGUCGUCAGCU
Molecule: ribosomal RNA, 1070 nt
Filed under: Salmonella enterica
Lineage: Bacteria; Pseudomonadati; Pseudomonadota; Gammaproteobacteria; Enterobacterales; Enterobacteriaceae
Description: bacterial SSU rRNA
Rfam family: Bacterial small subunit ribosomal RNA
Source: RNAcentral